CAGAGGGGGCAAGCGUUGUUCGGAAUUAACUGGGCGUAAAGGGCGACGUAGGCGGCCUUCUAAGUCGAACGUGAAAUCCCCGGGCUCAACCCGGGAACUGCGUCCGAUACUGGGAGGCUUGAAUCCGGGAGAGGGAUGUGGAAUUCCAGGUGUAGCGGUGAAAUGCGUAGAUAUCUGGAGGUAACACCGGUGGACGAAAGGCGGCAUCCUGGACCGGUAUUGACGCUGAGGCGCGAAAGCCAGGGGAGCAAACGGGAUUAGAUACCCCGGUAGUCCUGGCCCUAAACGAUGAAUGCUUGGUGUGGCGGGUAUCGAGUCCCUGCCGUGCCGAAGCUAACGCAUUAAGCAUUCCGCCUGGGGAGUACGGUCGCAAGGCUG
RNAcentral lists this ribosomal RNA (378 nucleotides) under uncultured organism. RNAcentral's name for it is "bacterial SSU rRNA". It matches the Rfam family "Bacterial small subunit ribosomal RNA", at positions 526 to 896 of the family's 1533-position model. The record is from RNAcentral.